This 687-nucleotide ribosomal RNA is filed under the name uncultured fungus. Its description in RNAcentral is "eukaryotic LSU rRNA". It matches the Rfam family "Eukaryotic large subunit ribosomal RNA", at positions 1 to 649 of the family's 3401-position model. The record is from RNAcentral. Lineage: Eukaryota; Fungi.
UCGCGAUUGAGUCCGGCAGGUCUACUUGCCAGCAACCCCUAAUUUUUUAAGGUUGACCUCGGAUCAGGUAGGGAUACCCGCUGAACUUAAGCAUAUCAAUAAGCGGAGGAAAAGAUACCAACAGGGAUUACCUCAGUAACGGCGAGUGAAGCGGUAACAGCUCAAAUUUGAAAGCUGGCUCUUUUAGGGUCCGCGUUGUAAUUUGUAGAAGAUGCUUCGGGUGUGGCCCCGGUCUAAGUUCCUUGGAACAGGACGUCAUAGAGGGUGAGAAUCCCGUAUGUGACUGUGUGCUUUCGCUCAUGUGAAGCUCUUUCGACGAGUCGAGUUGUUUGGGAAUGCAGCUCAAAAUGGGUGGUAAAUUUCAUCUAAAGCUAAAUAUUGGCCAGAGACCGAUAGCGCACAAGUAGAGUGAUCGAAAGAUGAAAAGCACUUUGGAAAGAGAGUUAAACAGUACGUGAAAUUGUUGAAAGGGAAGCGCUUGCAACCAGACUUGCGCGUUGAUGAUCAUCCGGGCUUCUGUCCGGUGCACUCGUCUGCGCUCAGGCCAGCAUCGGUUUCGGUGGUGGGAUAAAGGCCUUGGGAAUGUGGCUCCUCUCGGGGAGUGUUAUAGCCCUCGGUGCAAUGCCGCCUACCGGGACCGAGGACCGCGCUUCGGCUAGGAUGCUGGCGUAAUGGUUGUAAGCGACC